Molecule: ribosomal RNA, 492 nt
Filed under: uncultured bacterium
Lineage: Bacteria
Description: partial 16S ribosomal RNA
Rfam family: Bacterial small subunit ribosomal RNA
Source: RNAcentral
AGUGAACGCUGGCGGUAGGCCUAACACAUGCAAGUCGAACGGCAGCACAGUAAGAGCUUGCUCUUACGGGUGGCGAGUGGCGGACGGGUGAGGAAUACAUCGGAAUCUACUUUUUCGUGGGGGAUAACGUAGGGUAACUUACGCUAAUACCGCAUACGACCUACGGGUGAAAGCAGGGGAUCUUCGGACCUUGCGCGAUUGAAUGAGCCGAUGUCGGAUUAGCUAGUUGGCGGGGUAAAGGCCCACCAAGGCGACGAUCCGUAGCUGGUCUGAGAGGAUGAUCAGCCACACUGGAACUGAGACACGGUCCAGACUCCUACGGGAGGCAGCAGUGGGGGAUAUUGGACAAUGGGCGCAAGCCUGAUCCAGCCAUACCGCGUGGGUGAAGAAGGCCUCCGGGUUGUAAAGCCCUUUUGUUGGGAAAGAAAAGCAGCAGGUUAAUACCCCGCUGUUCUGACGGUACCCAAAGAAUAAGCACCGGCUAACUUCGUG